AGAAGAGGCAAUCGCAGGGAAGGAUGGAUCCUGGAAGAGUUUCCCUGCCUGAAGGCACUCGUUCCUCAGCGUCUCAAAGUCCUGACUGAGCCUCUUCCCUUGAUCAGAAGUCUGCAAAAACUGGCUCCCAGAAUGGGAACAGAAUCUGGGACCUUUUUGUUCCAAAGCACAGACCUCUGCCAUUUGAACUAAAGGGGUGACCACUUAGCAGUGUCACCUCGAGAUCCCAACAGAUGCCCCGUUGUCCUAGGCACAGUCCUUGCCCCGAAGAGCCUACUGUCUAAACCAGGGCUUCUCACAACAAAUUUUUU
Molecule: long non-coding RNA, 311 nt
Organism: Malaclemys terrapin pileata
Lineage: Eukaryota; Metazoa; Chordata; Testudines; Emydidae
Exons: 3
Source: RefSeq, a predicted model, not a curated record